Long non-coding RNA from Formica exsecta, 388 nucleotides. RefSeq lists it as uncharacterized. The transcript has 2 exons. The record is from RefSeq and is a predicted model, not a curated record. Lineage: Eukaryota; Metazoa; Arthropoda; Insecta; Hymenoptera; Formicidae.
CUGAUCGCCUCUCGCUAUGUUACCUGAACACUCGUGUGCGUACAUUUGGAAAUGUGACGUACAUAUUUUCUGUUAUAUCCGAGGAGAGUUUCGGCGAUGGCGUAUAGACACACAGAUUACAUUACCUUACAUCUUUUAUAUCGAUUAUUAAUGUUUAAUUUAUUUUUCUGACCUUAUAUAUAAUGUGCCUAGACACACCGAUUUUAUUUUAUUUUAUAUUGUUUUGUAAUUUUAAUUCUCGGACUUAUAUAUAAUGCGAACCGUGUAGGAAUUUACGAAUUAAACUAGUACGCUGAAGAUGGCUCCAAAUAGACCCGAAACGUCCGUCCGCUUUACUUGUAACUUAUAUUAACUCUUUGUUAAAAAUAAACUCAUAUUGCCAUUGUUA